Molecule: long non-coding RNA, 484 nt
Organism: Dromaius novaehollandiae (emu)
Lineage: Eukaryota; Metazoa; Chordata; Aves; Casuariiformes; Dromaiidae
Exons: 2
Source: RefSeq, a predicted model, not a curated record
CGCCCGGCCCGCCGCAGCUUCUCUUCCCAAACGAGCCAGAUUAUGGGAAAAAGCCACUUCAAAGGGGGCCGUUAAUUAGGGCAGCGCGCUCCGGGCCCUGGCGGCGACCCCGGUUUCUUCCCGGGACGGAGGGCGCCGGGCAUAUGGCGGACGGGGCGGCGGCGGCCGGCGCGGUGCGUGUGGAGCUAUGUGCAGCCGGGUGUGCGUACUAUUGUAAUGAGGCCCGCAGCCCCGCGGAGGACCGACGGGGCAUUCCUUUGUCUCCCGAUGAGAUUACCGCAGCCAGCUGCUCUCCAAGCCUUCCCUGGGCAAAUCUGAAAGUGGCCGCUAUAUGUGUUUUACUGAUGGCACACGAGGAGAAAACUAGCGCUCCCUCCCCCUCCUCCUCCUCUGCGCUAGUUGUUUGUUUGGGUUUAUUCCCUGGCUUGUUUCCGACGUGAUUUUGCUUGUGAGGAACUGCCGUGGAUAAAAUUGGCCACUCGUG